AGAGUUUGAUCAUGGCUCAGGACGAACGCUGGCGGCGUGCUUAACACAUGCAAGUCGAGCGGAAAGGCCCUUCGGGGUACUCGAGCGGCGAACGGGUGAGUAACACGUGAGUAACCUGCCCCUAGCUCUGGGAUAGCUCCGGGAAACCGGGAUUAAUACCAGAUACAACCACUUUAGACAUCUGUUGUGGUGGAAAGAAUUUUGGCUAGGGAUGGACUCGCGGCCUAUCAGCUUGUUGGUGAGGUAACGGCCCACCAAGGCGACGACGGGUAGCCGGCCUGAGAGGGCGACCGGCCACACUGGGACUGAGACACGGCCCAGACUCCUACGGGAGGCAGCAGUGGGGAAUAUUGCGCAAUGGGCGAAAGCCUGACGCAGCGACGCCGCGUGGGGGAUGAAGGCCUUCGGGUUGUAAACCCCUUUCAGCAGGGACGAAGCGAAAGUGACGGUACCUGCAGAAGAAGCGCCGGCUAACUACGUGCCAGCAGCCGCGGUAACACGUAGGGCGCAAGCGUUGUCCGGAAUUAUUGGGCGUAAAGAGCUCGUAGGCGGUCUGUUGCGUCCGCUGUGAAAACUCGGGGCUUAACCCUGAGCUUGCAGUGGAUACGGGCAGACUAGAGGUAGGUAGGGGAGAAUGGAAUUCCCGGUGUAGCGGUGAAAUGCGCAGAUAUCGGGAGGAACACCGGUGGCGAAGGCGGUUCUCUGGGCCUUACCUGACGCUGAGGAGCGAAAGCGUGGGGAGCGAACAGGAUUAGAUACCCUGGUAGUCCACGCCGUAAACGUUGGGCGCUAGGUGUGGGAUCCUUCCACGGAUUCCGUGCC
This 822-nucleotide ribosomal RNA is filed under the name uncultured bacterium. RNAcentral describes it as "bacterial SSU rRNA". It matches the Rfam family "Bacterial small subunit ribosomal RNA", at positions 8 to 847 of the family's 1533-position model. The record is from RNAcentral.